CUGUUCAGAUAGCCAUGCAUGUCUAAGUAUAAGUAUUAUACAGCGAAACUGCGAAUGGCUCAUUGAAACAGUUAUAGUUUAUUCGAUAGUAAAAUUACAUGGAUAACCGUGGUAAAUCUAAGGCUAAUACAUGCGCAAAGGCCUGACACUGAAGGGCUGUAUUUAUUAGAUCUAAUCAAAAUUUUGAUGAAUCAUAGUAACUGAUCGGACCGUGCGUAAGCGCGGUAAAUCGUUCAAGUUUCUGCCCUAUCAGCUUUCGAUGGUAGUGUAUUGGACUACCAUGGCAGUCACGGGUAACGGAGAAUUAGGGUUCGGUUCCGGAGAGGGAGCCUGAGAAACGGCUACCACAUCUAAGGAAGGCAGCAGGCGCGUAAAUUACCCAAUCCCCGAUUCGGGGAGGUAGUGACAAGAAAAUAACAACUCGAGAGGAUUUCCCUCUACGAGAUUGCAAUGAGGGACAAUCCCAAAUCACUUAGCGAUAAAACAAUUGGAGGGCAAGU
RNAcentral lists this ribosomal RNA (500 nucleotides) under uncultured eukaryote. Its description in RNAcentral is "SSU rRNA". It matches the Rfam family "Eukaryotic small subunit ribosomal RNA", at positions 36 to 560 of the family's 1831-position model. The record is from RNAcentral.